CCACCACCAAGACCACCUCACACAGUACCCCCAUCUACACCUCUUCAAUCUUCACCACUGAGUCCACCUCACGCAGUACUCCCAGCUUCACCUCUUCAAUCACCAUAUCCAAGACCACCUCACACACUACUCCCAGCUUUACCUCUUCAACAACCACCACCGAGACCACCUCAAACAACAGUACUACCAGGUACACCUCUUUAAUUCCCACUACCAAUAUGACCUUACGCACUACUCACAUCUACACCUCUUCAAUUCUCACUUCUGAGACCUCAGACAGUACUUCCAGCUUCACCUCUUCAAUCACCACCACUGAGACCACGUCACACCCUAUUCCCAGCUUUACCUCUUCAACAAUCACCAGCAAGACCACCUCACACAGUACCCCCAGCUUUACCUCUUCAAUCCUCACCACCAACACCACCUCACAUGGUACUUCCAGCUUCACAUCUUCAAUUGCCACCAAUGAGAUGACCUCACACAGUACUUUUACCUUCAACUCUUCAAUCCCCAUCACUGAGAUCACCUCCCACAGUACUCCCAGCUUCACCUCUUCAAUUCUCACCACCAAGACCACCUCACUUAGUACACCCAGGUUCACCUCUUCAAUUCCCAUCACCGAGAUCACCUCACUCAGUACUCCCAGCUUCACUUCUUUAAUCCCGACCACUGAGACAACUUCACACACUACUUUCAGCUUCACCUCUCCCAUUUCCACCACCGAGACCACCUCACACAGUACUCCCAGCUUCACCCCUUCAAUACCCACCAUCAAGACCACCUUACACAGUACUCCCAGCUUCACUUCUUCAAUCCCCACCACCGAGACCACCUCACAUUGUACUCCCAGCUUCACCUCUUUCAUCCCCACCAUGGAGACCACCUCACACAGUACAUCCAGCUUCACCUCUUCAAUUCCCACCAUCAAGACCACCUCACACAGUACUCCCAGCUUCACUUCUUCAAUCCCCACCACUGAGACCACCUUACACAGUACUCCCAGCUUCACCUCUUUCAUCCCCACCACCGAGACCACCUCACACAGCACUCCCAGCUUCACUUCUUUCAUCCCAACCACCGAGACCACCUCACACAGUACUUCCAGCUUCACCUCUUCAAUUCCUACCAUCAAGACCACCUCACACAGUACUCCCAGCUUCACUUCUUCAAUCCCCACCACUGAGACCACCUUAUACAGUACUCCCAGCUUCACCUCUUCCAUCCCCACCAUGGAGACCACCUCACACAGUACUCCCAGCUUCACCUCUUCAAUUCCCACCAUCAAAACCACCUCACACAGCACUCCCAGUUUCACUUCUUCAAUCACCACCACUGAAAUCACACCUCACAGUACUCCCAGCUUCACUUCUUCUUCUACCACCACAAAAACCCCUUUACACAGUACUCCCAGUUUCACUUCUUCAAUGACAACCACAGAGAGCACCUCCAAUAGUAAUCCUAGCUUCACUUCUUCAAUCGUCACCGACAACACCACCUCACACAAUACUCCCAGCUUCUCUUCUUCAACCACAACCACAGAGACCACCUCACACAGUACUGUAAGCUUCACCUCUUCAACCACAGCCACCAAGACCACCUCACACAGUACUGUAAGCUUCACCUCUUCAACCACAGCCACCAAGACCACCUCACACAGCAUACCCAGCUUCACUUCUUCAACCACCACUACCAAGACCACCUCACAGAGUACUCCCAGCUUCACAUCUUCAGUUACCACCACCGAGACCACUUUACACAGUACUCCCAGCUUUACUUCUUCAACCAAAAUCACUGAGACCACAUCACACAGUACUUCCAGCUUCACCUCUUUAAUCACCAACACUGAAACUACCUCACACAGUACUGCCAGCUUCACUUCUUCAUCCACCACUGCAAAGACUACCUCAAACUAUACUUCCAAUUUCACUUCUUCAAUCACUACCACUGAGACCACAUCACACACUACUCCCAGCUUCACUUCUUCAAUCAUCAUCACCAACACUCCCUCACACAAUACUCCCAGUUUUUCUUCUUCAACCACCACCACCCAGACCACCUCAGACAGUACUCCAAGCUUCACUUCUAUAGCCACCACCAACACCAACACAACCUCACAUAGAACUCCCAAUUUCACUUCUUCAAUUGUCACAACCAAGACCACCUCACACAGUACACCCAGUUUCACUUCUUCAAACACCACGACCACCAACACCACCUCAUACAGUACUCCCAGCUUCACUUCUUCAAUCACCACCAAGACCAUGUCACACAGUAUUCACAACUUCACUUCUUCAACCACCACCACCACCAAGGCCACCUCAGACAGUACUACCAGGUUCACUACUUCAAUCACCGCCACCAAUACCACCUCACACAGUACUCCUGGCUUCUCUUUAUCAACCACAACCACAGAGACCACCUCACACAGUACAUCCAGCUUAUCCUCUUCAACCACCACUACCAAAACCACCUCAUACAGUACUGCCAGCUUCAGUUCUUCAUUCACCACCAAUGAGGCCAUCUCACAUAGUACUCCUAACUUCCCCUCUUCAAUCACCACAACUGAGACCACCUCCCACAGUACUCCCAGGUUUACUUCUUCAAUCACCACAACCAAUAACACAUCACAGAGUACUCCCAGAUACACUUCUUCAAUCAUUACCACUGAAACUACCACACAUCGUAUUCCCAGCUUCAUCUCUUCAACCACAACUACCAAGACAACCUCAUAUAGUACACCUAGCUUCACUUCUUCAACCACCACUAUUGAGACUACCUCACACAGUACUCCCAGUGUCACCACUUCAAUAAUCACCACUGAGACCACCUCACACAGUACACCCAGCUUCCCUUCUUUAACCAGAACCACAGAGACCACCUCACACAGUACUUCAAGCUUCACUUCCUCAACGACCACUGAGAUCACCUCACACAGUACUCCCAACAUCACCUCUUUAAUCACAACUACCAUGACCACCUCACAUGGUACACCCUCCUUGACUUUUUCAACCAUGACCACUGAAACCACCUCACAGAGUACUCCCAGUUUCACACCUUCAAUAGCCACCACUGAGACUACCUCACACAGUAUUCUCAGUUUGACUUCUUUAACCAGCACAACCAAGACCACCCCACACAGUAUUCCCAGCUUUAUGUCUUCAACCACCACUGCUGAGAUCACAUCACACAGUACUCCCAGCUUCACCUCUUCUAUAACCAACACCAAAACUACCUCACUCAGUACUCCCAACUUCACUUCUUCAUCCACCACCACAAAGACCAGCACACACAGUACUUCCAACUUCACUUCUUCAAUCACCACCACCGAGACCACGACACACAGUACUCCCAGCUUCACUUCAUUAAUCACCACUACAAACAACACCUCACACAUUACUCCUUGGUUCAGUUCUCCAACCACCACCACCACGACCAAGAACUCCUCACUCAGUACUCUCAGCUUCACUUCUUUAACUACCACCACCAAGCCCACCUCACAUAGUACUCCCAGCUUCACUUCUUCAAUUGCCACCACUAAGACUACCUCACAUAGUACUCCCAGCUUCACUUCUUCAACCGCCACCACCAAGACUACCUCACACAGUACUCCCAGCUUCACCUCUUUAACCACCACCACUACCAAGGAAACCUUGCACAGUACCCCCAGCUUUCUUUCUUCAACCACGACCACCACCAAGACCAUCUCAGACAGUACUCCAAGCUUCAUUUCUUUAACAACUACCAUAAAGACUACCUCACACAGUACUCCCAGCUUCACUUCUUCAAUCACUACCAAGACCACCUUGCACAGUACUCACAGCUUCACUUCUUCAACCGCUAGCACCAAGACCACAUCAGACAGUACUCCCAGGUUCACUACUUCAGUCACCGCAACCAAUACCACCUCACACAGUACUCCCAGCUUCUCUUCAUCAACCACAAACACAGAGACCACCUCACACAAUACUCCCAGCUUAACCUCUUCAACCACAACCACUGACACCACCUCACACAGUACACCCAGUUUCACUUCUUCAACCACCACUACCAAAACCACCUCAGACAGUACUGCCAGCUUCAGUUCUUCAACCACCACCAAUGAGGCCACCUCACAUAGUACAUUCAGCUUCACUUCUUCAAUUGCCACUACCAAGACCACCUCACACAGUACUCCCAGCUUCACCUCUUUAACCAACAGCACGAAGACCACCUUACACAUUACUUCCAGCUUCACUUCUUCAAGCACCACAAUGAAGACCACCUCAGACAGUACUCCAAGCUUCACUUCCUCAAGCAGCACCACCAGGACCACCUCACACAGUACUCUCAGCUUUCCUUCUUUAACCACAACCGCAGAGACCAGGACACAAAGUACUUCAAGCUUCACUUCUUCAACCACCACCACUGAGACCACCUCACAUAGUACUCCCAAGUUCACCUCUUCAACCACAACCACCAAGACCACCUCACACAGUACUCCCAGCUUCACUUUUUCAACUAACACAUCUGAGACCACCUCACAGAAUACUCCCAGUGUCACACCUUCAAUAACCUCCAGUGAGACCACCUCACACAGUACUCUGAGCUUCACUUCUUCAACCACCACUCCCGACACCACCUCACAUAGUACUCCCAGCUUCACUUCUGCAAUCGCCACCACUAAGACCACCUCACAUAGUAGUCCCAGCUUCACUUCUUCAACUGACACCACCAAGACCACCUCACACAGUACUCCCAGCUUCACUUCUGCAAUCACCACCAAGACCACCCCACACAGUACUCACAGCUUCUCUUCAUCACCCACAACCACAGAGACCAUCUCACACAGUACUCCCAGCUUAACCUCUUCAACCACAACCACCGAGACCACCUCCCACAGUACUCACAGCUUCACUUCUUCAACCGCUAGCACCAAGACCACAUCAGACAGUACUCCCAGGUUCACUACUUCAGUCACCGCCACCAACACCACCUCACACAGUACUCCCAGCUUCUCUUCAUCAACCACAACCACAGAGACCACCUCACACAGUACUCCCAGUUUAACCUCUUCAUCCACAACCACCGAGACCACCUCCCACAGUACUCACAGCUUCACUUCUUCAAACACUAGCACCAAGACCACAUCAGACAGUACUCCCAGGUUCACUACUUCAACCAUCCCCAAUGAGACCACCUCGCAUAGUGUUCCCAGCUUCACUUCUUCAGCCACCACCACCACAACCUCAAAGAGUACUCCCGGCUUCACCUCUUUAACCACCAUCAUCAAGACCACCUUACACAGUACUUCCAGCUUCACUUCCUCAACUACCACCAUGAAGACCACCUCAGACAGUACUCCCAGCUUCACGCCUUCAACUGCGACCACCAAGACCACCUCACACAGUACACCCAGCUACACAUGUUCAACCACCACCAGUGAGACUACCUCACACAAUACUCCCAGCUUCACCUUUUCAAUCAGCACCUCUGAGACCACCUCCCACAGUACUCCCAGUUUUACUUCUUCCACCACCACCACCGAGACCACAUCAGAGAAUAUUCCCAGCUUCACCUCUUCAAUCAACACCACUGAAACCACCUCACAUAGUACUUCCAACUUUAUCUCUUCAACCACGACUACCAAGGCGACCUCACAUAGUACACCCAGCUUCACUUCUUCAACCACCACUCCCGAAAGUACCUCACACAGUAUUCCCGGCAUCACCUCUUCAAUCACCACCCCCCACACCAGCUCAAACAGUACUCCUAGCUUCUCUUCUUUAGCCACAAACACAGAGACCACCUCACACAAUACUGCCAGCUUCACUUCUUCAACCACCACCACCAAGACCACCUCACACAGUAAUCCCAGCUUCACUUCUUCAGUCACAACCAAGACCACCUCACAUAGUAUUCACAACUUCACUUCUUCAACCACCACCACCACCAAGACCACCUUACACAGUACAUCCAGCUUCACUUCUUCAACCACCACUCCCGACACCACCUCACAGUGUACUGCCAGCUUCAGUUCUUCAACCACCAUCAAUGAGAGCAUCUCACAUAGUACUCCCAGCUUUACCUCUUCAACCACAACCACCAAGACCACCUCACACAGUACACCCAGCUUCACUUCUUCAACUGCUACUAUCGAGAUCAACUCACACAGUACUCUCCGUUUCACUUCUUCAACUCUCCACUCCAAAGUCAGCACAUCCAGAAGUGCCAUCACCUCAUCUCCCACUGCGUUUGAGACUGGGGUGACUUCCACAGCUGUAAGCGCACCUAGUCAGAGAUCAGAUUACCUGAUCAGAAGGCUAAUACCUUUCACCCCCUCAUCUGUGGACACCAGCACUUCAUUGACUACACAGUACUCCCAGCUCCCCUCUACACCCACUGAUGUCACUACCCCACCAUCCCCAACACAAAUUAUUUGGUCUUCUCCCUCCAUCCAUAAUAAAGAAACCUCAUCCCUUGUGGGCACAAUCUCUCCCAUCAUUUCCACUGUGAGAACCACCCUCAGAAUUACUGAAAACACCCCGAUCAGUUUCCUUAGUACAAGUUUUCUGGUUACACCUGAAACCCCAACGCGUACCCCUCCUGUACUGACCUCUGCCACCGGGACACAAACGUCUUCUGUACAUACUACUCUCACGUUUGGAAGCACAGAUUCCUCCACGUCCACUCUCGAGACUGUUACUCCAUCAACAACCUUGAGCACGAUCAUGUCAACAUCAGAGGUGCCUGUUACUAGCACACAUUCAUCCACCCUGAAAACAACUCCUGCAACCCUCUCAGUGCAAACUUCACUCACGUCUCCGAGUGAGUCUACUACGGAAUCUUUCACUAGGGGAAGUACAUCUACGAAUGCAAUCUUGACUCCUUUUAGUACCAUCAUCUGGUCCUCAACACCCACUACCAUAAUGUCCUCUUCUCCGUCUUCCGCCAGCAUAACUCCAGCGUUCUCCACUACCACUCACUCUGCCCCUUCUUCACCACACAUUUUCAGCACAGAAAAUGUGAGUUCCUCUUCUAUCACAGCCUUUCCUACUCUCUCUUCCUCUGCAACUACCAGCACAUCUCCAACCAGCUCCUCUCUGACCACAACUCUCACCAAAAUAACCCCCUUUUCUUAUAUUUCUCUUCCCUCCACCACACCCUGUCCAGAAACUGUAACAAUUACAAUAGUCCCUGCCUCUCCCACUGAUCCGUGUGUUGAAAUGGAUCCCAGCACUCAAGCUACUUCCACCACCACCCCAUUUACCGUCUUUCCCUUUACCACCGAAAUGGUCACCAGUCCCAGCUCCAUCAGUCUGCGAACUGCCCUUCCUACAUAUAUGGACACGUCUUCCGUGACUCCAGGAAGUUUGCCCAGCAUCACAACCAAUGCUUCCAGUUCCACUGGCACUGGGACUGUACCCACGAACACAGUUUUCACAAGUACUCAAAUGCCGACCAGUGAGACCUGGCUGAGCACCAGCUCCACGAUCCCCCCACCUCUUCCUGGAGUCUCUACCAUCCCACUCACCACGAAACCAAGCAGUAGCCUUCCGACUGUCCUGAGGACUUCAAGCGAGUCAACACACUCCUCCCCACGCACCACCAGGACUUCAGAGACACCAGUGGCCACUACCCAGACUCCUACCACCCUUACGUCGCGCAGGACAACUCCCGUCACUUCCCAGAUGCCCACACAGUCGAGGUUGACCACCACUGCAGGCACCUGUGACAAUGGUGGCACCUGGGAACAGGGCCAGUGUGUUUGCCGUCCGGAGUUCUCUGGGGACCGCUGUCAGCUCCAGAUCCCAUGCCAGAAUGGGGGUCGUUGGGAUGGCCUCAAGUGCCAGUGUCCCAGCACCUUCUAUGGUUCCCGUUGUGAGUUUGCUGUGGAACAGGUGGAUGUAGGUGAGUCGCCAGAGCUAUGCCUUCUGCACUUCCCCAGACUUAUCCCUAUGUGCGACCUGGAGGCACCCAUGCCAUUUUGCCCCGUCCUUCCUUCCCUGCCAUCUCUCCCAUGCCCUCUGCUGCUCUGUGUCAUGCUCCUCUCUCCUCACCCUUAAGAGGUGGCUGGGAACCACAUUCCCUCCUAAGCCCAUUUCUUGACUUGGGUUGCUUGGAUAUAUAUCCGUUUGCAACUGCGGCUGUACCAACACACACAAACCUGGCUGCUGAAACAACACGACAUUAUCAUGUUAUAAUUCUGUAGAUCAGAAGUCUGACGUGGGUGUCACUCGGCUGAAAUCCAGGCAUCACCAGGGCUGUGUUCUCUUCCAGAGGCUCCAGGGAAGCAUCCAUUUCCUUGCCUUUUGCAGCUUCUGGAGCCUCCCAUGUUGCAUGUGCCAGGGUCCCUGGCUCCAUCUUCCAAGCCAGCAAGGCUGCAUCCCUCUGGGUCUUUCUCCCAUAGCCUCAUCUCACUCUGAUGGACUCUGGGCUCCGCUAUUGCUUCUUCCACUGUUAAGGACUCUGUGAGGACUUUGGUUCCUCCCCAAAUAGUUCAUGUUAAUUUUUAUAAGAUCAGCUGAUUAGGCCAGGUAUGGUGGCUCACGCCUGUAAUCCCAGCACUUUGGGAGGCUGAGGUGGGCAGAUUACCUGAGGUCAGGAGUUCGAGACUAGCCUGAUCAACACGGUGAAGCUCUGUCUCUUCUAUAAAUAUAAAAAUUAGUCAUACAUGGUGGUAGGUGCCUGUAAUCCUCACUAAUCAGGAGGCUGAGGCAGGAGAAUCACUUGAACCCAGGAGGCGGGGGUUGCAGUGAGUUGAGAUUUCACUGCUUCACUCCAGCCUGGACCACUGAGUGAGAGUGAGACUCUGUCUCAAAAGAAAAAAAAAUCAGCUAAUUGUGUUGUAAUCCCUGUACUUUGGAAGGACUAGGAGGGAGGAUCUUUUGAGGCCAGGACAUCAAGACCUCAUGCAACACUGUGAGACCCCAUCUCUACAAAAAAAUAAUAAUAAUAAUAAUAAAAAAUUAGCUGGGCAUGAUGGCAUGUGCCUGUGGUUCCAGCUACUUGGGAUGCUGAGGUGGAAGGAUCGCUUGAGCCUAGAAGUUCAAGACUGCAGUGAGCUAUGAUCCCACUGUUGUACUCUAGCCUGGAUGACAGAAUGAGACCCUAUCUCAACAAUAAAAAAGAGUUAGGCUGAUUAGCAAUCGAAUUCCAUCUGCACCCUUGAUCCUCCCUUGCCAUGUAGUAUAGCAUACUCACAGUUCUGGGGAUUAGGACACAGACACCCACCCACCGUGGGGGUAGCUGGGAGGGACCAUAGGCUCGCUGCUGUGUUCCUGCCUGCUUCCCCUCAUCUCCUCACAAUCCUUCUUUCCUUCCUUCUUUCCUUCCUUCCUUCCUCUUUUCCUUCCCUCCUUCCUUCCUCUUUCUUUUCCUUCCUUCCUUCCUUCCUUCCUUCCUUCUUUCCUUCCUUCCUUCCUUCCCUUCCUUCUCUCUUUCUCUCUUCCUUUCUUCCUUUCCUUUUUUUCUGACAGAGUCUUGCUCUGUCACCCAGGCUUGAGUGUAGUGGUGCGAUCUUGGCUCACUGCAACCUCCACCUUCCAGUUUCAAGCGAUUCUCCUGCCUCGGCCUCCCAAGGCACAAUGAAUCCUUGAAUUCCUACCUCUGUUCCUGCCUCUGUGCAUCAGUCCUCAGGGAUCUUGGAGAGGAGCAGCAGGAGGAGCCUGUGGGUUGGGAGGAGGUGGUGGUGGUGGUGGUGGCGUCAGACAAAACCAGACAGAGAAGUGACUAGGGACAUGCAUGCUGUGUGCAGACUCAGUGGAGACCGAGGUGGCCAUGGAAGUGUCUGUCGACCAGGAGUUCUCCUCUGACCUCAACGACAACGCUUCCCAGGCCUACAGGGAUUUCAACAACACCUUCUGGAAUCAGGUAAGGGGCAAGGGGAGGGGAAUUUAAGGUACUCCCCUGGGUGUGAGGUUGGUGCCCUCAGGCCCGCAGGUUCAAGACGUGAGCCCUGGGGUCCUUGGUGUUCCAGAUGCAGAAGAUUUAUGCAGAUGUGCAGGGCUUCACCUUCAAGGGUGUGGAGAUCCUGUCCCUGAGGUAGGAGACCCAUCUGGGGAUGUGGAGGCGGUGUGGGGUGGGGGAAAUGUGUGCACAGAAAGAACCCAUUCCUUGCUUUUGUAAUCAUCAGAUUUUAUAAAGAGAGGGGUCGGGGGGGCGGUGGAGGGGAUACACAAGGAAUCACUCCUUGGGGUAUUUUUUGAGAUCGUUUUCUGGGGCUAUUUCUCUGGAGGAGGGGUGGCGCCUCUCUUCUUCAGCACGCUGGAAGGAGAGAAGUUACAGGGACAUGUGGGAAGGAGGUGUCUGGAUUGGUGACUUCAUCUCCCUCUGCCUUGCCCCUGCUCUACUGGGUGGGUCAGCAUUAGAGAGGGAAAGAAAGAAAGAGAGAGGAAGAGAGAGAGGAAGAGAGAGAGUGCACCCAGGGGUGCCUGGUGGAUGAUGGCGUGAUACAACACAAAGGGAAUGUCAGGCUGGAUGCCGGGGCUUACACUUGUAAUCCUAGCACUUUGGGAGGGCUAGGUGGGUGGAUCGCCUAAGACCAGUUCAAGACCAGCCUAGACAACAUAGUGAGAAUCCAUCUCUACAAUAAUAAUAGUAUUAAUAAAAUGAUUAGCCAGGCUUGGUAGUGCACACCUGUAAUUUCAGAUACUUGGGAGGCUGAGGUGGGAGGAUCACUUGAGCCAGGGAGUUAGAGGCUGCAGUGAACCAUAAUUAUAACACUGCACUCCAGCCUGGAUGACAAGGGAAGACCUUGUCUCCAAAAAACAGAGAGAGAGAGGAAGUCUAUCAUGUCAAUCAUUCCUUGUCCUGCCUUCCCAGGCUGACCAAGUCAGGGAUGCUGGCAGCCUCUUCUGAAAAGGAUGCCAUGACCUCUGCCCCCUUUCCCCUUCUGGUGCACAUCGGUUGGUUCUGGAGGUACCCUUCCAAGGACCCACGUGCCCAUGGGGCAUUCUCUAAGACUGCGGACCCCUCAGGAAUGGCAGCAUCAUGGUGGACUACCUGGUUCUGCUGGAGAUGCCCUUCAGCCCCCAACUGGAGACUGAGUACGAAAAAGUGAAGACGGCAUUGAAGGAGGGGCUGCAGAACGCCAGCCAGAAUGUAGACAGCUGCCAGGACUCCCAGAGUGAGCCCGGGCUGGAGGGAGGGGCCCGGGCCAGAGCCGCUACCCCAGCCCACUCCAGCUCAGCCAGGGGGUCUCUGGACUCAGGUGCCAGCCCUGUGGUACCUCUGGCAGGCUGGGAGAAGGGGCACGAGUCCACACACAACAGCGUCAAGGGUGGGGCUAGGGAGGGUCUCCCUAGGACCUGGGUGCUCGGCAAGAGAACCCCUGAGCGUCAGGCUCAGCGUUUCCUGGAUGAGAUGAGGGAGGGAACAGGAGUCUUCCCUUGUGUCCCCUCCGCACUCCUCCAGACAGAGAGAGCCCUCACUGCCCUCCAUGUGCCUGUCCUGCUUUCUGGCCCUAACCCCUUGAUCUUAACCCCUUGACCUGCCCUCCCAUUCCAUCUGUGCCUGUGUUUCCGCAGCCCUGUGCUUUAAGCCUGACUCCAUCAAGGUGAACAACGACAGCAGGACAGAGCUGACUCCGAAAGGUAAGGGUGGGGUAAAGGGCUGAGUGGUCUUCCGUGGCCAUGACUCCUGCCACCAGGGGCAUUUGCCCAUUGAAGCUGGGGGGCAGGGAGAGGCCUUCGACGGAGGCAAGUGAUGUGACCCAGGACAGCCCUUCCUGCGCUGCUUAGUGGCUUCCACUUGAGGAAAGCAGGGGCCACGAGGAGAGGGUGAGGGUGCUGGGGCUGGCCUCCCCUCAUUUAAUCCCAGGGUCUACCCCACGGCACCCCACCAGGAAAUGGAGUCCUGGUCGCGCAUUUUCAGAGGCACCAUAAUCAGGCCCCGGGAUAGAAUGGAUGAGGUCCUUGUCUCUCUGCAACCCCCUCCCCAACCCCCUAGCCAUCUGCAGCCGCGCCGCUCCCGAAGGCUAUGAGGAGUUCUACUUUCCCUUGGUGGAGGCGACCCGGCUCCGCUGCGUCACCAAAUGUACGUCGGGCGUGGACGACGCCAUCGACUGUCACCAGGGCCAGUGCAUUCUGGAGAGGAGCGGUCCUGCUUGUCGGUGAGGCCCCACCCACCAUCAGCUUCGCCUGAGCCCCGCCCACUCAUUCCAAGAUGACAGCCCCG
RNAcentral lists this long non-coding RNA (12153 nucleotides) under Aotus nancymaae (Ma's night monkey). RNAcentral's name for it is "lncRNA (ENSANAG00000038826.1)". Lineage: Eukaryota; Metazoa; Chordata; Mammalia; Primates; Aotidae. The record is from RNAcentral.